Molecule: long non-coding RNA, 8143 nt
Organism: Onychostruthus taczanowskii (white-rumped snowfinch)
Lineage: Eukaryota; Metazoa; Chordata; Aves; Passeriformes; Passeridae
Exons: 2
Source: RefSeq, a predicted model, not a curated record
CCCAGGGGCUCCCCUGGUGUCUCUGCACAUCCACAGUGAUGUGCUGAGAUCCCACAGCUGAGUGUUCCUGAUUACCCAGAGUUGUUCUUCAUGUGUACUGCCAUGCAAUAAUGAAAUAUUCUCCAGCAGAGGCUCCAAACCUGCCUGCCAGCUACUGAGAGAAUUGUCCAAACACUCCUUGAACUCAGGCUUGGUGCCUUAACCACUUCCCUGGGAACCUGUUCCAGUCCCCAGCCACCCUCUGGGUGUAGAAACUUCUCCUGAAAUCCAGCAUAAACCUCCCGUGAUACAACUUCAUGCCAUUUCCUUGGUUCUGUCACUGAUUACCAGAAAGAAGAGAUCAGUGCCUGCCCCUCCUCUUCCCCUAAUGAGGAAGCUGUAGACUGAUAAGGUUUCAGUGUUUCUUCUUUUGCUUUUUCUUAUUAGGAGGACUCAUUGUGUCCAUCACUUUUCCUUCACAGACUGUGUCCACACUUGGACUUCUCAUCCUUUUUUUCUUUUGUUACACUGUGUCUCACUGCAUGCUAGAUACCCUGAAAGGCUGUAUUCAUCUGUUUAACAGUCACUGGUUUAUGAUAGUUUUGUCAAGGUCAUUUUCUCUCACUAGACUUGCAAGCUCCUAAAACUGUCCAUAGCAAGUUUUGUACUUCCUUUAUGCAGCAGAUUUUUCACUUUUUAUCCUACUGUUUUCUCCAGAAGUGGCCCAGUGAUCUGCUACUUUAUCAGUUUCUUGAUCUGCUGCUUUUUUCAGAGCAGUAGCAUCUGCUGUGGUGUCCCCUCUGGCUCUACAGACCUCUCCAUUCAGUAAAAGAUUUUAUUCUGUUCAAUAGAUUGCUAUAAACUGUGACAGGCAGCCUGAACCCUCCUCUGCAGAGCAACUAACAGUUCUUUUCAACAAUCUUACAAAAAGCAGAACCUUUCCAAUAUUUACUAUGCUUACUGCCUCUUCUAUAAUAUUGAUUGCUGUCUCUGCUUCUUUAUCUCCUUUUGCCUUUUUCUUUACUACACAAUCCUGAUCUGCUUACUUCUCUGAAUGUAGUGCUCUUAUGACUCAAAGAGCCAGAGGCUGUCUGUAGAGAACGCAGAGAAUGCAGAAUCACAGCAUGGUUGUGGUUAGAAUGGAUUUGGCAUUGGUGCAAGAGGACUAGGUCAGGGGACACCUCAGCAAACUAGAAAUAAUUAAGUCCAUGGGCCCUGAUGGGAUGCAUCCAUGAAAUACUGGUGUUGAGGAAGUUGGCAGAUGUGACUGUGAGGCCCCUCUCAGCAACCUUUGACCAAUGGCAGCAACUGUGGGGACUGCCCAAAAACUGGAGAAAGCAAAUGUCACUCCUAUCUUCCAGAAGGGCUACAGCCCUCUCCUACCUUUUUCUGUUACUUUGAAUGUUUUAUAUUCCUUGCAGAAUUAAGAACAGAGUUAUGUUCAUGCAAGAGGCUCUCUAGAUGUGAUUUGCAAGGUUUUUCAGAUGAUGCAAUAAAUAAUUUCCCAUUUUAGUCUAUGACAGAUAAAGGCAUAUGAUUCUUGUGAAAGUUAAAUGUCAUUUUGACCAGUUCUGCUAUUAAGGUAUUCUGUUCCCUGUUGAAACUCAGUAAAGACAGCAGUGCAAAACAUUUUUGAUAUAUUCAUCGGAGCAUGAAUAAUAUUUUUUGAUAAUGAUAUGUAGAGGGUUAUGUCUGUAAUAUAAAACCUCAAAAUUAGUUAGCAAAAAUCCAAUAUUAGAUAUCUAUUAUGUAAACAUUGAUGUAAUUGAAUGCAACGCCCUGUAUUCUUGAUAGUUUUCUUAGCACUAUGACUUUACAGACCAAAGCUAUUAUGACGUAACCUUUAUUUAGGGGAGAUAUUUUCACUGUUAUGUUCUGUAUAAUUACCUAGGUUGUUACCUCCACACUUGCAGUAUUUAUGAAAUAGCACAUUGACUUUUUGUAUGGCACUUCUGAAAUUAUUUAUUUUGCUUUGAAGUGGCCUCCUGGUAAAUUGAAGAGCUGGGAUAUAUUGGCUGUGUGUCAGAGGGGAGAGAGUUGUGUUUCUAGGUUUACCUUGUAAACAUGAAAAAAAAUUAUUCUGGUGGUAACGUUUCUACGUUCUACGUUUGUAUUGUUUUGUGUGCCUUGGUAAAAGAUGACAAAUACCUCUCAUUAAAAACAUUUUGGCAUUCUGCAGUUCAUGGCAUUACAUGGGUAGAUGGAUGGGCAUAUCCAAGAGAAGUUCAUUGUAGCUCUCUUAAAGAGCUCAUAUAUAGUGUAGAAAAACUAAAUAGUCCUAAGGUAACCUUAAAUUUAAGAUAAACUAUCUUGAACUAUAAAAAACAGAUUUACAAAGAGAGCUUCAGAAAAACAAAGGUAACAGUUUUACAACCUCUGCACAUGAUAUGUCAGAAUUAAUACUCAAAUCAUAUUGUACUGAACACGGUUGUCUUGCAUUUUAUUUAAUGGAGACUAAUGAGAAGGGAUGAUUGUGUCAAAUAAAAACUGCUCAGUUGUUCAGGUGUUUCACUUAGAUAACAGAUUUUUACUCAGUGAUAUUUUGUAAAUUUUGGGGAGACCUCACCUUGAUGCUGAUCUCCUGAGCACUAUCAGAAUACAAUAUUGCUUUUUACACUGGUAAUUUUUGUUCUGCAUUUCUGUGUGUGUAACACAAGCAAUACAUUCCUUUUGGCAGUAUUAAUGGAUAAAAUGGAUCCAUGGUAAUCACGGGGUAAGAGGCAGAUAAAUACAUAACUGUUAAGUUCCCUUAGUUCAAUAAGGAGCUUUCUUUAUUUUCUUUAGCCUUCCACUACUUCCAACUGCAGGUUUAAAAUCUGAGUAUUAAUUUAAAGAAGGAUUUUAUUUCUUGUAGUUUAUAUCAUUGAAAGAAGAGUUCUUAGAAAAAUAACCUAAAUGAAAGAUUUUCUUUGCCUUCUUAUAUUUCAGUAAGAACAUUAUACAAGCCAUGCAAAUACAGGAGAAAUUAAUAAUUGAAGCAAAUGCAACUGAAGGAUGAUUUAUGUAUAUUUGCAUUUCUGCUUUAUUUAUAAAGAAGAAAUUUAAAAUAAAAGCAAGCUGUACAUUCAUCAGAACUAGAAUUAGUAACCAAGAAUGCCAGGUUCUCUUUUAGAUCAGUUAUUCAUUUUUCAAAAAAUACUCCACACCCUAUAUUUGGCUUAAGGCACAAAAGUUGAAUGGAGAUUGCUAGUUUAGGUGACUGGGUUGCCUUCCUAAUAAAAAAAAAAAUUCUUUUGGUUCUUCUAUUUAUAAAACCUUUUCUGUUCAUUUUAUUUCUUUUUUUUUCUUAUUUUCCAAUUUAAAACAUUAUCAGUAGCAAUGAAAUAAGGAGAGCUUAAAAAAUGAAUCAUGUUAUUUUUCAAGUAUCAAUAUCAAAGAAAUAUCAAAGAAAAUUCUUGGUUUGCUUUCUCAUUGGAAAAUCAAUUUUAGUCAAAGAGGAAAGAGACCUCACCUCUUGGACAUAAAGUGACAGCAGUAUCUGGAACAAGGAAAGCAUAGUUGAUAUUUUAGAAAAGUAGGAGAUGCAAGGUGGCAAAGAUUCUUUCAUCUGUGGUUUCCAUGUUCAAGGGAAAAUAAUUUACUGCAAAAGUUAGAAGGCUUUGAUUCCUUCUUAAUGAGAAAAAAAUGUCAGGUUCUAGUAGUGUAACAGUACAAAAACAGUAUUAAAAGUUUGUGGUAACUUGGAUUGCAGCUGUCUACAUCUAUUAGCUAAAUAGCACAUGCUUCAAUAAAGAUCUACUACAUGUAUGUAAUAAAACUGGAUAACUAAUUGCCGUAGGUUCAUGUGUUGUCACACACAGCAAGCCAGGUAAAAAGUCACCACAGUUGUUGCCUUGCGUAAAAGCAAAAUUUCCUUUUUGUACAGAAUUUACACAGCGGUGUGGUUGUGUUUGGUAUUUCUCAAAGAUUAUGAAACAGUCCUGCAGCCCCUAAGCUACUGCUUCACUUAUUUGUGUAUAUGCAUGUGAUUACUUCUGCUGUUUUUUCCUGUCUCCUUUUCUCUCACCUCCUUUAUGUCUGUUGUCAGAGAGAAAUAUGUGUGAACUCCUUUCUGGCCUGGAAUGUUCUUCCACCUCUCUUUGCUGCCCUGUCUCACUUUCUACUUCUAUAUAAUGUUUUCCACUUUCCUACUAUUAAAAAUACAACAUUUUAUACCCUCAGGUUCUGUAAAUUUACUUCUUGCCUGCUCCCUGUAGGGGGCCACAGUGUGAGUUUUUAACAUUUAAAAACUGUGGUUCAUAAGAGUUUUAAACUUAUUAUACUGCAAUGCUAUCUGCACUCCACUAAAUCAGGAUCCAUGAUGCCAUUGGCUGUCCAUGUCUAGGCAACAAUGUAUAAUUCCAAAAUAAUUUAAGGAGAAAUAAGGAGAUGAGGGGAUAUGAAAAAAAUUUAAUAAAGCAUAAUGUAACUAAUUAGAUGUCAACUAUGUAACACUGACUAUGCAAUUAAGUACUUAUUCCGGCAUCAAGAAUGUCCUGGGAACUGAAAACAAUGUAAAGUGUUGGUCAGUGGAGUCAGUAGUUGCUAGAAAUCUUGUUCAAGACACGUGUUAAAUUGCUAUUCAUGCAGUUACACAUCUCUGUUCUUGCUCCUUCUCAUCUGUAUUCUAAUUUUGAUAGACAUUGCCUCUCUUUCUCUCUGACCAGCUGACAGUAGGGGGUGGAACUUUCUUUGCUGCAAACUUUUUUCACAGCUGCCUUUGAUCCUUCUGCUCCACAAUGUCAGGAGGAAUCUGAGCUCACCUUUCUCUAAUCACCAGGGCUAAGGCAGCAAAACUUUCUGUCCCUGCACCUCACCAUUAGCUCUCACUGUGAAGAAAAUAGCCUUCCUCCUGCACCACUUCUCAGGUCACAAAUGCCAGCUCCCUAUCCAUCCAAACAUAUCCUAGAUUUUAUAGGAUAUUUUUGCUUUUACUAUGCAUAAACCCUGGACUAAUUUUUUUUUCUAAUUUUUUCUAAUUUGUUUAUUUCUGUUUUGUUUGUUUGUAUGUUCUUUUCUUUAAGAUGCUGUAAAAAAAUCACAUAUGUCUACAAAAAUAUUCAACCUAUUGCUUCACCACAGCUGUGCAAAUUUUUUUUUACAUAGAUGAUGUCAGAGAGACAAUGUACUUGAGUAGUUGAGUACUGCUGUUGUGCUUUGUAGGAAUGAUACCCAGAAAUGUGAAUGUAAUUUUUUAUUCAUAUAUGCAUUUUUUAAUACCCUGAACUUCUAGAUUCUUCUCUUAACUGUUCAUGAAGGGUACAAGACUAUUAUUUUCUUACAAGCUAUGUUGCUUCAUAUGUCUAGUUUAGUGACAGGUGAUAGUGACCUCAAUGACUGUUAAACUACAUCCAAAGUAUGAGGUUUUGGACUAUAUCUGAGCCCCAGAGGUUCCUUAUCAGUAAAAAGGUACAUGCUUGGUGCUUUGAGGGAGAUAUUACACAGAAAUCUGUUAGAUAAGUAAGUAGUGCAGAUAAGAUUUCCAUUCAAUGUUAAACUGGUCACAUAUUUUACUAAAAGCUACUGUUAUGGAAAUAGUUGCUUGAAGAGGUACAUUUGUAUUUUUCCUUGAAUGGAAGAAUAAAUUCAGGGCCUCUUACAAAUUUUGUUCUCUGUGUCCAAGUUAGUCUCUGUAUUUCUGAGAGAGUCGCAAUUCCUUGUUCAUGGAGACAAAAGUAAUGCAGAAAUAUCACAAAAUAUUCCUGACAUUAAUUUUAAGCUUGUGCAGUUUCAGCCACAUUAAAGUGUCAUGUAAAUGUGACAGUUUUUAAGUGCUUAUCAAAAAUACCUUGUUCAUGAGAUACCAAAGCACUUGUCAGUUUUUCACAUUUGAACCAAUACUUUUGUAGAGUGUAGCAAAAAAAAAAAAAAGUAUGUUGGUCUGCACAGAUGACAAAAUUUAUGAUUAAAUGAUAAAAAUUAUAAUAUCCAAUGAAGGUGGAAAUUGUGGAAUUUACCAUACUUGUGAUCUGUAUAUAUUAUGCUUAUAUUUUUUCUAGAUUCAUUCUUCAGCAGCUUAUGUGUAGUUAUCAGUAAAGCCAUCUUGCUGUUUUUCCUUGCACAGAGUAUAUAGAUUAAUUGUGGUAUAGCAGGUUUUUCAGUCCUGUUUUGGUGUUAUGUCCCUUCCUUACAGUAUCAAGAGAACAGCCUUGCUCCAAAAUCUCUUUUCAAGCUGCUCUUUACAACCAAAGUAUAUUUAGAUGGAGCUACUGCCUUAAAAAGCUGUGUCAGCACACUCACUGAGUGUAACUCUUGCACUUAAUUGUGAGGUAGCUGUACAUUCGUUGAUUUUUGGGUUUGGUUUUUUUAUCAGUAGGCAUACUGAUACAUUUUUUUGUAACCCAAAAUGUCAAUACUACCUCUCGUUUUGCCUAACUAAAACCCCACAUAUUGUGUACAGAUAUGGUGGGUAAAUAAAUAUGCUUCUAGUCACACAGCCACACAGCCAAGAUUGAAGCUCUCCUGUUAGGUUUGUGUUGGGAGGAAUGGGUUAAAGCUUGGAAGACUGUUGAGAAGGAUUGUAAAUCAUUCAAGUGACCUUGCAGUUCGAAAUAACUCUUGAUAAGCCCCUGAGAACCACAGUCCAGUGAUCCUCUCGCAUGAACCAUCUCUGUUUGUGUGCCUUUGCCUGGCGCUCCUUUGGGGAUCCCCUCAUUAGCAAGGUAAACAGAAAUAAAUUUAUUGUUUUUGUUCUAACUGCAAGUUUGUAGCUGUUCUGGCUGCCUGCCUAUGUCAACUCAGUUUGAAACAACACCAAUAACAUCUGUAAAACUUAAGUAAUGUUAUACAAUUAAAUAAGUAUCUGUCCUGUUAGAAAUGAGGCAUAUGUCAUGCUUUAUAAAUACAUAAGUCAGGGUCCUAAUGUUGCAGUAAUUUAAAUCCUUCAUCUCUUUUUUUACUGCAUGGAUUUCAGGUGUUUGUGCACGUUGAAUUUGUGAUGUUAUUUGCCAUCAAGUCUUAUAAAGUCCUGGCACAAUUCUUCUGGCAGAACACAUCCUUACUGGCCUGUCUAACUUAGCAUCAGCAGCAAAGUUGCUCAUCUCAGUCUUCACAGGGUUCCCUUUUUUUCACAAGGUUACAUUUAGGAACGUACUGGAUACCCCAGGUCCCAGCACUGAUCUCUGCAGACUUGCAGUGGCAAGUUUCCUCCAUUCCAGGAGUUAACCAUUAACUCAUACUCCCUUCUCCAGUUUCCUUCCCAUCUGUUAAUUAUUUAUCAAACAUUAAGACUGAAGUUCUUAUUUUUGGGUUAAGCCUUCUUUUAAGGUUUAAGGUUUCUUUCAAAAUAAGUCUGCUUCAGGAGACUUGGUGAGAAGCCUUUUGGAAAUCCUGUAGACUCUAUUAACUAGAUCCUCAUUGCUUACUGAUCCUUUUAAAGGCUUUAAAAGCUUUUCCCUGCCAUAAUAAACAAAGCCAAAGUUUGCAGUACAUUUUAAAAAUGUGUAUGAUGAGGCAAGUACCAGGUGAUUAGUGUGUAUGGUAUGUAAUCCAAAAAACAGUGUUUAGACAUCGGGGUCACUAAGCUAUGUUAAUUAUUCCUAAUAAAAGGCUUUAUAUCUUAACCAAGGCUUUACCACCUGAAUUAAUUAAUUUUUCAAGGCAUGUAAUGAUAACUGUGAUAAAUACAUAGCUUAUGGACCGUAGGGGCUUCUUAUUAUUUGGAGGCAAUCUUUAAAUAUCUUAUGCAAAUGUGAGAAACACUUCAAAUAUAUAUAUCAACUUUGGUAUCCAAAAUAAUACAAACAUAAACAGGACCACUUAACUAAGCAUAUGAAAUAAUUAUUUUCCAGUGUCUUUAAUUCUAAAAGACAUCUACCCAAUAUGGUACUGGUGAUUAUUUUUCUUAGGUCAAAUUUCUUUUAUGCAAGGUAUUAGGAAGAUCCUACUGUAAAGGUAUUUUGGGAGGUAAGCUUAGAAUUUAUUUUUUAAGUAACACCUUCUUUUUUGCUAAAUUAAGGAAUAACUCUUUAUUUUUAACACAUUUUUAUUUACUUUGCAUUUGUACAGUUUGUUUCCAGAGUCCACGAUUGUUAUGUAGUGAGCAUUUGAAGGUUUUAUUAAAAUUUAUACCUUUAAAACGAUCACUGUUUGGAAUUUUAAACCUUGUAAAAGAAGAGACUGAAGCAUACCAUAGACAAGUUGAUAGCCCAUACUGACAAUGUAAAUAAAACUCCUACUGCAUCAA